UCAGAUUCCAAACGGACGAAUGGGAUUUGCCACUUCGACAGACACUACAGGCAUGAGCGGCGCUCCUGACGGCUAUUCCUGUACUCAGGGGGAAGCAGCAUCAAAACAAGCCUGUUGAGCUCUCCGCCUCCCACCCCUGCAGAUGCAGACACGCCCGCAGGUCCCAGACCCACCGGCUUCUGGCCACCGUCCCUCUUUCUCUCCCCAACAGGUUCCGUUAAGACCAGCGUGUGGACAUGCUCCCCUGCGAGCACCUGGUUCCUCGGACGGAUUCCCCACCGUGCGGGGUCUGCACCGCUCGCGUAUUUGUGCGCCGUGAAAGUGUUUGCCGACAGCAUUUUCCAGGAGUCCACGCAAGUGAGACCUGUUCCGGACCCUUCCUCAUGCUCCCAGAACACGCCGACUGCGCCCUGCUCCCGACUUCACACGCACCCGUGAGGGUCACCCUGGAUCCUCGGUUUCCCUCACAGACUCCCAGGACGGUGCUCGGCUCAGGUCACUGCCUGUUUGGUUUUAUUUUGAAGUAAUCCCAGGGCCAGCAAGGGCUGCAGUCAAGUUGGAGGACCAGUGCGGAUUCAUCCGGAAGACUUCAGAGGCCCUGGGUCCGGGGUCUGGGACAUGCCUGAUUCGUGGCCGAUGGAGGCCGUGACACUUGGAAUAAAGAAGCCGAACGGGGGGACCGGGGUAGGUGUGGGGAGCUUGGCCCCCCCCCCACCCCCGCAUGAAGCUGGCCCAGGCGAGGCCACACCUACGGGGACACAGUUCUGAUGGGCAGGCAGGGGGGCUCCAGCAGAUGCGUGAAGCAGGGCCAGAAGCCCCCUUGCAGCUCUGGACAGGGAUCCGGCUCCUCUAGGCCAGUCCGGCCCCCUCUGGCCGCCAUCUCCCGGCAGAACACUCUG
Neofelis nebulosa (Clouded leopard) is the source of this 899-nucleotide long non-coding RNA. RefSeq lists it as uncharacterized. Lineage: Eukaryota; Metazoa; Chordata; Mammalia; Carnivora; Felidae. The transcript is spliced from 3 exons. The record is from RefSeq and is a predicted model, not a curated record.